Molecule: non-coding RNA, 29 nt
Filed under: Rattus norvegicus (Norway rat)
Lineage: Eukaryota; Metazoa; Chordata; Mammalia; Rodentia; Muridae
Source: RNAcentral
UUUAACGUAAUUGAUUGGUAAUGGGAGUC